This 140-nucleotide small nucleolar RNA is filed under the name Nannospalax galili (Upper Galilee mountains blind mole rat). The record is from RNAcentral. Lineage: Eukaryota; Metazoa; Chordata; Mammalia; Rodentia; Spalacidae.
AAUUUACAUUAUAUUAAGAAACAGAUCAAACUGGCCAAUGAACUCACAAGUGUAGGUAGUGUGCCACAUGAGUGGCAAGUUUUCACUAACACUCGACUCUGGCCUGUGAGUGGAGUUUGAUAGUAACUUUUUCUACAAGU